CCACCGCUCUACAUACCCUAACUCUCAUCGUUUCAUCAGUUUUAAUUUUUUCAUCUUUCUCCAUACCCAGUUCUCCAAAAACACUAAGAGAUUCAUGGAAUUAGGAUUUGGAUCUGUAUUUUCAGCGUGAUUCUUAUAAAUUGGGAAGCGGAAUUUGCUUUUCUCUCAUUCCUUUGUGCUAGUUAGUAAUUAUUCAAAGAUCUGGUCUUCACUUUUUGAGUUAUGCCUGUCCUUAUUAUGCCGUAUUAUUUUGCUAGAUACAACGUUGCUUUAGAGGUCAAUGAAUUUAUCCAGGUUUCUCAAACUUGCAUUGUUUUAUAAUCGAUGGAACUCUUGAUUUUCUACAUCAGUAUGUAUUUGGCAGCAUGAAGUACUUUAGUGUUGUGGACUAAGAAUUUCAGUACUCUUCAGCAAUGAAACCAGAGGAUGUUAUGACUAUUAUAUGUGUCAAGUCUACAAAUUAAUCAAGUCAUUCCAUGAAGACGUUAAAUUAGCUCCAAUUCAAUAGAGAGAAGUUGCGUGUUUUUCGAAAUAGUGGUAGUAUUGCAACUAUGCAUUUUUAUUUAAUGUUAGCAGUUUAAGAGAUCAAAUGUCUUCUAAAUGAAUAUUAGUUUAAUAAUGUUAGAAUAUAAUCAUAGUUUUUUGCAUUAUUUUACAUAUGUAUACAUAUAAUAAUUUGUACUCUUGUUUAAUUAUGAAUAAAUUCAAUUUAUGGGUAAA
Chenopodium quinoa (quinoa) is the source of this 720-nucleotide long non-coding RNA. RefSeq lists it as uncharacterized. The record is from RefSeq and is a predicted model, not a curated record. The transcript is spliced from 4 exons. Lineage: Eukaryota; Viridiplantae; Streptophyta; Magnoliopsida; Caryophyllales; Amaranthaceae.